CUCUCGGCCGAACCCUUUGAGGAGAAAGAAAAAAAAAUUCCCCAAGCCUUUGUGUUGAUCCAAAAUUCUUUUUCUUCACAUAUUGUAAAGUACUCAAGACGCUCUCCGACGGGGUACAAUUAGUUUGGCGAAAGGUGCGCGUUUGCGGCAAGUCGGAAAUUUAAGAAAAGAUUCCGGACGAAACGGGAUUUGAUUUUAGGGAGAGCAUAAGACGUCUAUAAGGUACAGAUAUUGGUGAUCCUCCACUGUAGGCUUCACUCUCUGCUAUUUCGGAGUACUCCUUCUUGACUCGGAGUCCACUUUUGGUACAGACUUCUUUUGCUAUGUAUAUAUUCUGUACAUUUGACUAUUUGGGUACGGCGGGGUCCUGUCUCGCCAUAUGUCUUUGUUUUGUAUUCGUAGAGGCCUGUAGUCAUAUAUGUGGGGCGAGGGUCCUAUAUAUGUUUGUUCGAUUUUGUUUUUUUUUGGUCUUAAAGCGGUCCGUUUGUUAUGAUGGCCCUAAAUGGCCCUUAUGCUUAUAUUUGCACUUGUGACCGGCGAUGUCUAUUCCGCCGCUCCUUUCGGAUUCGAUAUGAUAUUUUGAUAUGUGCGACCGCUUAA
Long non-coding RNA from Lycium barbarum (goji berry), 600 nucleotides. RefSeq lists it as uncharacterized. The transcript has 2 exons. The record is from RefSeq and is a predicted model, not a curated record. NCBI's taxonomy places the organism in Eukaryota, Viridiplantae, Streptophyta, Magnoliopsida, Solanales, Solanaceae.